GAGAGAGAGAGAAGCGGAGGCUUCGGCGCGGGUGGAUUCGAUUUCGAGGGGCUCCAUGGGGGGAAGGGUGGAUUUGUUCUCCUUCUUCUCGCUGGGAGAUAAUGGCGAGAGCGACGGGAAGGGGGUGCCGGAGCAGGAAGGAAGCGGCUUUGUCUAGCUCGUCCGAAAGCCGAGCAGAGAGAUCAUUUUGUGCGGACCGCGUAAGAAGCCGUGUCCUAUUGGAUUAGCCGUCAUCUUUUACAUGGAUUCAAUCAUAGUUGAAGCUGGUUCUUAUCAAUAGUUUUCUUUUUUAUGUUUUGCAUAUUUCUAUAUGUAUGCCCUGGACCUGUUUAUACCUUGUAUGCCCUGGACCUGUUUAUAUCUUGUAUGAUCUGGACCUUUUUUGCUCUACACCUUUGUUGCAUGUUUCCCUGCUUCUCUUUUUCGUUGAUUGUAAGUACUCCCUCCGGCCAGAAUUACUUGUCAAAAUAUUAGAUGUAUCUAGACACGUUUUAAACAUAGAUACAUCCAUAUUUGGACAAAUUUGAGACAAGUAAUAUGGCUCGGAGGAAAUAACAAUACUCAUAUAUUAAUCAGUAAGAGAGAUACAGUAUAGAUAUAAGAAUUUGUAGUGUGUUGUGUUCAAAAGGAGAUGUUGGAACCAGAA
Long non-coding RNA from Brachypodium distachyon (stiff brome), 646 nucleotides. RefSeq lists it as uncharacterized. The transcript has 2 exons. Lineage: Eukaryota; Viridiplantae; Streptophyta; Magnoliopsida; Poales; Poaceae. The record is from RefSeq and is a predicted model, not a curated record.